This 332-nucleotide ribosomal RNA is filed under the name uncultured bacterium. RNAcentral describes it as "bacterial SSU rRNA". It matches the Rfam family "Bacterial small subunit ribosomal RNA", at positions 28 to 334 of the family's 1533-position model. The record is from RNAcentral.
GACGAACGCUGGCGGCGUGCCUAAUACAUGCAAGUCGGGCGAGCGGAACCAACAGAUUUACUUCGGUAAUGACGUUGGGAAAGCGAGCGGCGGAUGGGUGAGUAACACGUGGGGAACCUGCCCCUAAGUCUGGGAUACCAUUUGGAAACAGGUGCUAAUACCGGAUAAUAAAGCAGAUCGCAUGAUCAGCUUUUGAAAGGCGGCGUAAGCUGUCGCUAAGGGAUGGCCCCGCGGUGCAUUAGCUAGUUGGUAAGGUAACGGCUUACCAAGGCGACGAUGCAUAGCCGAGUUGAGAGACUGAUCGGCCACAUUGGGACUGAGACACGGCCCAA